GGGCCGUUAGUUCAGUUGGUAGAAUGCGUCUCUCCUAAAGAUGAGGUCCUGGGUUCGAGCCCCAGGCGGCCCU
Molecule: transfer RNA, 73 nt
Filed under: Malassezia sympodialis ATCC 42132
Lineage: Eukaryota; Fungi; Basidiomycota; Malasseziomycetes; Malasseziales; Malasseziaceae
Description: tRNA-Arg (CCT) (tRNA-Arg-CCT-1-1)
Rfam family: tRNA
About the family: Transfer RNA (tRNA) molecules are approximately 80 nucleotides in length. Their secondary structure includes four short double-helical elements and three loops (D, anti-codon, and T loops).
Source: RNAcentral